GCCGGGCGCGGUGGCGCACGCCUUUAAUCUCGGCACUUGGGAGGCAGAGGCAGGCGGACUUCUGAGUUCGAGGCCAGCCUGCUCUACAAAGUGAAUUCCAGGACAGCCAGGGCUAUACAGAGAAACCCUGUCUCGAAAAACCACUGGAACACUGGAACUCACUUUGUAGAGCAGGCUGGCCUCGAACUCAGAAGUCCAUCUACCUCU
RNAcentral lists this long non-coding RNA (207 nucleotides) under Mus musculus (house mouse). Its description in RNAcentral is "long non-coding RNA chr4:119406033-119406240". Lineage: Eukaryota; Metazoa; Chordata; Mammalia; Rodentia; Muridae. The record is from RNAcentral.